Molecule: non-coding RNA, 54 nt
Organism: Salmo salar (Atlantic salmon)
Lineage: Eukaryota; Metazoa; Chordata; Actinopteri; Salmoniformes; Salmonidae
Source: Rfam
AAGGUGGCGUAUGCCACAGCCAUGGACUGGUUCAUAGCAGUCUGUUAUGCCUUC